GCAAUUCCCUCACCUGCACAAACCUGCCCUUGGCAUGGGACUGGAUGCACAGCCCAGGAUCAUCUCUACUUCACGUAACACCUGUCACUCCAGGAGGACUUAUUCGGACUGCUUCCAACACCCUGACAACAGGAUCUCAGAUUAGACCUGGUGGAAAACAGACAUUGGACACAAGAGUGCACCCAGACAGUGUGACCUCUAGUUAUGACUUGCUGGAACUGGAGUCACCCCAGCAGACAUUAUACAGUGUGCUGUCAAAAAGACAAUUGCCCUGUGACUGUCUUGGCAUUCUAUUUAGCAACUACUGUGCAGUGUGUCUCUGGAACUGAAAUUUUAGUGUAUUAAGCUUAAACGUCCACCAGUUUUCACAGGCUGAGCCAGAGAAAGCCCAGAGCUUUUGUUUUUCUCCCUGCUAAAGCUAAAAGAUCACAGCAUACAAAUUCAACUGAUAAGUGGCUUAUGGGAAAGUGUACAAGAAGUUGAAUAUCCUAGGUUUUGACAAGUUGUUCCAUUCACUUCCUGGACACUUCUUCAGGUGGAGUCUCCUUCACUGUCCUUGCCAUCCUCAGGACCAGCACAGACUCCAAGAGGGACAAGGCAGGAGAUUCUGUGGGACUAUGUCUUUUUCCUUAAUGGUACAGAAACAUUUGUGAUAUUUUUUGCCCCGUGCUGGAAAACUCCUAUCAAGCAAUCUCUGUGGAGUAACUCAGGGCAGCUGGCCAGAAGGACAGUUUGGUGGUCAGUGUGCAUGACUGAAAAUCUCAUCUGAAGCCUGCAGAAGGCUUUAUUCAAUAAAGGGUAUUCAAGUUUAAAGUAAAAGUCAGUGCAUCAUGCAAAAAAAUUAUUAGGAAUAUUAAUGGCAGCAAAUUUCUUCUACUAGUUGUCAUCACUUCCCACACUCAAAAUCACAUCUUAAGAACACCCCAUUGAUGCUGCUCUUUUUCAUUUCCACAUUGGCAGAUGCCACUGGAAUAAAUGUCUUGACAAGCAGUUGUCAUAAUUUCUUUUUCCUCUUCCUUUAGAUAGUAACUUACAACAGAAAUGCCAAUUUUCCCACACACUGUGUCAUACAUUUAGAAUGCAUUAUGUAUUAAAUUACUUGGAAAUAGUUGGCAAACGAGCUGGCAUCUCUCUGAUAAGUCCCAAGGAAGCCAAACAUAAUAUGCAUGCACUCUUAAAUUAUCUAUAAGCAGUUCUGUUCAGUUUUCAAGGGUGAAUGCUCAGCUGUGUUUCACUUCCAAUGCAUUUUUGUUUAAAGCUCAUAUUUAAAUGUGAAUGUAGUAGUGCAUAGGGGAAAAGAAGAAAAUUAAUAUUGUUAAUGUUUCCACAAAUUCAAAUACUUUCAGUUUUCAAACUUUAAAUAAGACAAUGAAGCAUAGAGAGAAUUUAAAAACCAGCAUAUUUUGAAGAGAUUUUAAAGCAGGAUUUAAAACUGUAUAGUUAAAAAAUUAAAUUCUCUAGAAAGUAAAUGCAAAUUCUAACUUUCAAUGGCAGUCUGCCACUUUGCCUUGAACAGCUGAUUUUUCUCUAUCAACACCCUUCUUCAAUUUUAAAAUGAUACUACUUACUAAGUUGUUUUUUUAUUAAAAGGAUAUGUAAAAAAUACCUAGAUGAAUAGCUAUGAUAAAGGUCAUAGUAAAGUGGGUGAAAUACUUCUGCAUGAAAGAAGAUCCUACCAUGGCUGCAUCAGCCAAAGAAAAUUAUGAGUAAGGGACCUGAAGCAUGGCCCAGCAGAAAUUGUCCUGACUGAUGUGAGGAGAUGGGCUGCUGUGCUUAUCCAAGUAACUGGCAAUGCAGACAUUGCAGGAUAAGUGGUUACACAACCAUCCAGUGAUUGGGUCCUCUCACAUGACUGCAAAAAUAUGUCUUGAAUCAGGCUGUAAAUAGCUGUUUCUCUGAUUAUCAUCAAGGCGAGGGUUUGGGAGACACAUUACCGAAGGUACCUCUUGAAUGAAGUGGUACCAUUCCAGGGCAAGGGAGAGAUUUGCAAGCAGAAUGUCAGGGCAACUUCAGCGGGGGACCUGGAAAUUGAAAGGAAAACAAAUAAUAGGCUCAAGAACCUGAGAGUUCCUCCUGAGCUCAUAUCUUGAGGGAUGCAAGAGAAUGACAAAUACUCAGGUACAGCUCGUCUGAUAGAUAUGUAGACAUUAAUCAAGUUAAGCAUGUGUUUCUUUCAUUUCUGACUUUAAAAAACCUUUGACCUGCCUUAUUGCUUUUGGCUUCUGCAAAUAAGCAUAAAAGAAAACGAAACUAUUUAUCCUGGCUUGCGCUAAGAGUGAUUUUGAGGUAUUACUUAACAUCAAAUUAUCUCAUGGUUAUCAUCAUAAUCUCUGAACCACACAAGGGCCCCAGCAAUUCAGUGUUUUUCCCCAAAGCAUGGAAAUUGAAAUGGGAUGUACUCACUAAAGAGGCUGGCAGACUGUUUGAAAGCUGGUUACAUGGAGUUUUAAUAGAAAGUGUCUCUUCAGAGCACAACAUUAAAUGAAGAGAACCUGCUGAACCUGUAAUCAGCACUUCCUUGAAAAAUGAUAAUCAAUAUUUUGUAAAUAAAUGUUUGUGGAACUCUGUCUUGGAGAAGCUUAUAACCUGCUACCUCAGCACUUGCUGUAAACCAAAAUGUUUGUUACCAUGACCUGAUUAUGGUAAUUUAAUUUCCAUUAUACACAGAACAAAACAGAGAAGUGGUUUGCUAAUGGGUCUCGAACAGAGAGAAAUCCCAGUCUAAGUAACUAGUGCAAGAUCUCAGUGUACUUAGACCUAAUGCUAAAGGUCUCACAGUCUCUGUAACGUGGUAGACAAUCUGGAGGGUGUUUCACAGCAGCAUCUGAAGAGUACUCAGUACUCUGACAUAAUUCAGUAUCCAUUUACAGAAGGGAAGCGAGAUUUCACUCUGCAGUCCAGACCUUUGCCAGCUGCUUGUGUUCUUGUUUACAUUGUGUGCUUGUUUACAUUUCAUUUUCUGGCCUGUAAAGAAGUGCCGUGGCUCCUCUCCUCACCCAUCAAUGACUGCUGUCAUACAGCUCUAGGAGGGCCUGGCAUCCUUAAGCAUCAUCCAAACUCUAGGUGGACAUUUACUUUAUUUUCUUCCUUUGUACUUUCUUCUACAAACUGUUCACCUGUACAGUUCAUUUCUACUUUAUAAACAGAUGAUUUUAUUUUGUUUGCUUUUAUUUUAACCUUGCUUUCCUUAGAGUGAUUUUAAAGUGAUUUAUCACUUAAAAUCAUUCUGUCAAUCUUAUAAGAUAAUGGCUGUGUUUCACGUCCACAAUCUCCAUACUGUACUCCACAGGUUAUCUCAA
This is a long non-coding RNA of Prinia subflava (tawny-flanked prinia), 3299 nucleotides long. RefSeq lists it as uncharacterized. NCBI's taxonomy places the organism in Eukaryota, Metazoa, Chordata, Aves, Passeriformes, Cisticolidae. The transcript is spliced from 4 exons. The record is from RefSeq and is a predicted model, not a curated record.